This 438-nucleotide ribosomal RNA is filed under the name uncultured bacterium. RNAcentral's name for it is "bacterial SSU rRNA". It matches the Rfam family "Bacterial small subunit ribosomal RNA", at positions 959 to 1397 of the family's 1533-position model. The record is from RNAcentral.
ACGCGUGGAACCUUACCAGGUCUUGACAUCCUCUGACACUCCUAGAGAUAGGACGUUCCCCUUCGGGGGACAGAGUGACAGGUGGUGCAUGGUUGUCGUCAGCUCGUGUCGUGAGAUGUUGGGUUAAGUCCCGCAACGAGCGCAACCCUUGAUCUUAGUUGCCAGCAUUCAGUUGGGCACUCUAAGGUGACUGCCGGUGACAAACCGGAGGAAGGUGGGGAUGACGUCAAAUCAUCAUGCCCCUUAUGACCUGGGCUACACACGUGCUACAAUGGAUGGUACAAAGGGCUGCAAGACUGCGAAGUCAAGCCAAUCCCAUAAAACCAUUCUCAGUUCGGAUUGCAGGCUGCAACUCGCCUGCAUGAAGCCGGAAUCGCUAGUAAUCGCGGAUCAGCAUGCCGCGGUGAAUACGUUCCCGGGCCUGUACACACCGCCCGU